This 1357-nucleotide ribosomal RNA is filed under the name uncultured organism. RNAcentral describes it as "partial 16S ribosomal RNA". It matches the Rfam family "Bacterial small subunit ribosomal RNA". The record is from RNAcentral.
GAUGAACGCUGGCGGUCUGCUUAACACAUGCAAGUCGAACGGGCUCUUCGGAGCUAGUGGCGGACGGGUGAGUAACGCGUGAGAAUCUGCCUUCAGGAGGGGGAUAACGACUGGAAACGGUCGCUAAUACCCCAUAUGCCUCCGGGUGAAAAGUAAUUCGCCUGAAGAUGAGCUCGCGUCAGAUUAGCUAGUUGGUGGGGUAAGAGCCUACCAAGGCGACGAUCUGUAGCUGGUCUGAGAGGAUGAUCAGCCACACUGGGACUGAGACACGGCCCAGACUCCUACGGGAGGCAGCAGUGGGGAAUUUUCCGCAAUGGGCGCAAGCCUGACGGAGCAAGACCGCGUGGGGGAUGACGGCCUAAUGGUUGUAAACCCCUUUUCUCUGGGAAGAAGACUGACGGUACCAGAGGAAUCAGCCUCGGCUAACUCCGUGCCAGCAGCCGCGGUAAUACGGAGGAGGCAAGCGUUAUCCGGAAUUAUUGGGCGUAAAGCGUCCGUAGGUGGUUAUUCAAGUCUGCUGUCAAAGCGUGGGGCUUAACUCUAUAGAGGCAGUGGAAGCUGAGUGACUAGAGUGCGGUAGGGGUCGAGGGAACUCCCAGUGUAGCGGUGAAAUGCGUAGAUAUUGGGAAGAACACCAGUGGCGAAAGCGCUCGACUGGGCCUGCACUGACACUGAGGCACGAAAGCGUGGGGAGCAAACAGGAUUAGAUACCCUGGUAGUCCACGCUGUAAACGAUGAUCACUAGCUGUUGGCGAUACACUGUCAGCGGCUGAGCGAAAGUAUUAAGUGAUCCACCUGGGGAGUACGAUCGCAAGGUUGAAACUCAAAGGAAUUGACGGGGGCCCGCACAAGCGGAGGAGCAUGUGGUUUAAUUCGAUGAUACGCGAGGAACCUCACCUAGGCUUAAAUGCUUUUUGACCGUCCUGGAAACAGGAUUUCCCUUCGGGGCAAAUUGCAAGGUGCUGCAUGGUUGUCGUCAGCUCGUGCCGUGAGGUGUCGGGUUAAGUCCCAUAACGAGCGCAACCCCUAUUCUUAGUUGCCAUCAGGUAAUGCUGGGAACUCUAAGGAAACUGCCUACGCAAGUAGUGAGGAAGGUGGGGAUGACGUCAAAUCAGCACGGCCCUUACGCCUAGGGCUACACACGUGCUACAAUGGCCAGCAUAGUGGGUUGCUACCUGGUAACAGGAUGCUAAUCUCUAAAUCUGGUCUCAGUUCGGAUUGAAGUCUGCAACUCGACUUCAUGAAGUUGGAUUCGCUAGUAAUCGCGCAUCAGCAAUGGCGCGGUGAAUACGUUCCCGGGCCUUGUACACGCCGCCCGUCAAGCCAUGGAAGCUGGGAGUGCCUGAAGUCUGUAACC